RNAcentral lists this unclassified non-coding RNA (262 nucleotides) under uncultured fungus. Its description in RNAcentral is "sequence contains 5.8S rRNA gene". The stretch from base 1 to 53 matches the Rfam family "5.8S ribosomal RNA", at positions 102 to 154 of the family's 154-position model. The record is from RNAcentral. Lineage: Eukaryota; Fungi.
GAACGCACCUUGCGCCCUCUGGUAUUCCGGAGGGCAUGCCUGUUUGAGUGUCAUGAAGACUCAUCCCUUCGGGUUUCCGAUUGGAUGGAUUUGGGCGCCUGCCAUCUUGUUUGGCUCGCCUUAAAAGCAUAAGUGGUUGUAUAGGACGUAAUAAGUUUCGCCCUCUGACUGCUCAUAACCCCAACCUAAGAGACAUCUCGGUGUCUCGAAGGCCAUCUUUAAUCUGACCUCAAAUCAGGUAGGGCUACCCGCUGAACUUAAG